Molecule: ribosomal RNA, 292 nt
Filed under: uncultured bacterium
Lineage: Bacteria
Description: partial 16S ribosomal RNA
Rfam family: Bacterial small subunit ribosomal RNA
Source: RNAcentral
GUGUCAGCCGCCGCGGUAAGACAGAGGGUGCAAACGUUGUUCGGAAUUACUGGGCGUAAAGCGCGUGUAGGCGGCUUGGCAAGUCGGGUGUGAAAGCCCUGGGCUCAACCUAGGAAGUGCACUCGAAACUGCUUCGCUUGAGUGCCGGAGAGGAAAGCGGAAUUCUCGGUGUAGAGGUGAAAUUCGUAGAUAUCGAGAGGAACAUCGGUGGCGAAGGCGGCUUUCUGGACGGUAACUGACGCUGAGACGCGAAAGCGUGGGGAGCAAACAGGAUUAGAAACCCCCGUAGUCC